RNAcentral lists this ribosomal RNA (545 nucleotides) under uncultured bacterium. RNAcentral describes it as "bacterial SSU rRNA". It matches the Rfam family "Bacterial small subunit ribosomal RNA", at positions 777 to 1319 of the family's 1533-position model. The record is from RNAcentral.
AAUAGAUACCCCGGUACGUCCACGCCGUAAACGAUGAGUGCUAAGUGUUGGGGGGUUUCCGCCCCUCAGUGCUGCAGCUAACGCAUUAAGCACUCCGCCUGGGGAGUACGGUCGCAAGACUGAAACUCAAAGGAAUUGACGGGGGCCCGCACAAGCGGUGGAGCAUGUGGUUUAAUUCGAAGCAACGCGAAGAACCUUACCAGGUCUUGACAUCCCGGUGACCACUAUGGAGACAUAGUUUCCCCUUCGGGGGCAACGGUGACAGGUGGUGCAUGGUUGUCGUCAGCUCGUGUCGUGAGAUGUUGGGUUAAGUCCCGCAACGAGCGCAACCCUUAUUCUUAGUUGCCAUCAUUCAGUUGGGCACUCUAAGGAGACUGCCGGUGAUAGACCGGAGGAAAGUGGGGAUGACGUCAAAUCAUCAUGCCCCUUAUGACCUGGGCUACACACGUGCUACAAUGGACGGUACAAACGGUUGCCAACCCGCGAGGGGGAGCUAAUCCGAUAAAACCGUUCUCAGUUCGGAUUGUAGGCUGCAACUCGCCUAC